GCCGCGAUCGCAUAACCUGGUAUUGCGCUGGCCUUGAGAGCCAGUUUCCUUCGGGAUAUGGGGGUUCGAAUCCCUCUCGCGGCG
Molecule: transfer RNA, 84 nt
Filed under: archaeon
Lineage: Archaea
Description: tRNA-Ser
Rfam family: tRNA
About the family: Transfer RNA (tRNA) molecules are approximately 80 nucleotides in length.
Source: RNAcentral